UUACAUCAGCAGUCAUCUACGUGAUAGAGAGUGGAUGCGGCAAGUCCCAGGCUGCCCAUCGGACAUCCACGAAAACCUUGUGGCUAAUACACGGAAGCAGAGGUCUCUCACACUACCGCUCCGGUGGGGCUCUGCCUUGCUGGAGAGUGAGGGACUACAACCAGCUGAGCUAAAAGACCGGCGCCUGAACAAGGCAAAGUCAUGUUGAAUCAGGCUGGUCCGUAUGGACACUGUGCUGGCUUCUGAGUCGUCUUCGGACGCAAGCUUGAUCACACGAACUUCUGACCUAUCAGCUACGACUGUGGUGUAGCGGACCACGGUGGCUAUGACGGGUAACGGAGAAUUUGGGUUCGAUUCCGGAGAGGGAGCCUGAGAGACGGCUACCACUGCCAAGGCGGGCAGCAGGCGCGCAAAUUGCCCAAUGCCAAAGCUGGUGAGGCAGCGACGAACUGCAGCAAUUCUGCUGGUCUUGUACCAGCAGGACUUGGAAUGGAUGCUAUCCAAACACAGUGAUGAGUAACGACUGGAGGGCAAGUCUGGUGCCAGCAGCUGCGGUAAUUCCAGCUCCAAGGGCGUAUACUAACAUUGCUGCUGUUAAAGCACUUGUAGUCUGCCACUGGGCAGCAGGUCUGCUGGGCGGCCUGGCAUGCGUUCUGAUCCCUUCGGGGUGAUGGCGUGUGCUGGGGUAAAACCCCCAGCAGUAUGUCCUGCUCCCGCAUUCAGUGAUGGUUGCGUAGUACUCCAGUUCGAAGUCCCCUUCAGUGGGGAUUGAGGCGGAUUCGCACCCCAAGCAUGCGUGGGGGUAGAGGCGGAGAGCGCUCUGUGCGCGAUCGCUGCCCACCACCGGAGUCCACCAUCAGUGACACCCUGGAAAACUCAGUGUGCUCCAAGCGACCUGCAAAGGCUGGAUGCCUAUCCAUGGAAUGUCAAAGCACCGACCUGAUGUGGCAGAGAUGUUGUGCCGGGCUUGAUGCCCAUUGAAGGACAAUAUGGGUCUGACCCCAGCAUCAGAGAGUUCCUCUUCCGAGAUGUUCAUCAGAUGACUGUGGGUCAGUCUCCAAACGAAGACGAUGGGAUUGCUCAGGGCGGAAGGUACUGCAACGCCAGAGGUGAAAUUCUUAGACCGCUGCAAGACCAACUGCAGCGAAGGCGUUCUGCAAGUGCAUGUUCGUCGAUCAAGAAUGAGAGUGUGGGGAGCGAAGAUGAUCAGACACCGUCGUAGUCCACAACUGUAAACCAUGCCAGCUCGGCAUUGGUGAGGCAAUCAUUGUAUGAACCAUAUCAGUGCCAUGCCCCCUUCAACGAGAAAUCCAAGCCAUUGGGUUCAGGGGGGAGUACUGUCGCAAGGCUGGAACUUAAAGGAAUUGACGGAAUGGCACCACAAGGCGUGGAGUAUGCGGCUUAAUUUGACUCAACACGGGAAAUGUUACCAGGUCAGGACCUUGCCAGGAUGGACAGAUUGAGAGCUCUUUCUUGAUCCUUGGGAUGGUGGUGCAUGGCCGCUCCUGAUUGGUGGAGUGAUUUGUCUGGUUGAUUCCGAUAACGAGUGAGAUAUCUGCCUGCCAAUAGCCCCAGUCUCGCACUUGUAGGGCGGGCCUCAGUGAGGUUCUGGUUCGCUGGUUCAGCGCUGCAGGUCCCCCGAGAGUUCUGGGCCGCUUCUCUGAGGUGCUGUGUUCGCUGCCAAGAGCACGCAUGCAAGAGCCAACAGCAGGUCUGUGAUGCUCCCAGAUGUCCUGGGCCGCACGCGCACUACAUUGAUUCAGUGAAGGUGUCAUGCUCCUUCGUGGAGCCCUGCCCAGAAGUGGGUGGGAAACCCUGCAAAACUGAUUCGCGAUGGGGAUAGAUGAUUGCAACUGUCUGCCUUGAACGAGGAAUGCCUAGUAUGCGCGUGUCAUCAGCACGCACCGAUUGUGUCCCUGCC
This 1921-nucleotide ribosomal RNA is filed under the name Trachelomonas similis. Its description in RNAcentral is "bacterial SSU rRNA". It matches the Rfam family "Eukaryotic small subunit ribosomal RNA", at positions 101 to 1657 of the family's 1831-position model. The record is from RNAcentral. Lineage: Eukaryota; Euglenozoa; Euglenophyceae; Euglenales; Euglenaceae.